GGUCGACCACUCCUCCGCGGCCGCGCCACAGCUGUUUGUGGAGACGUCCGCAAUAGUAAUUUUCUCCAAAUUCUUGAUGUAACUUUUUUGCACCCAUAUGUAUUUUUUACUAUUUUCUUACAUCUAGAGCGAUAGAAGUUUAAUGUGUACCCAAAAUUCCUGAUGUAACAUUUUUCCAACUAUAUGUAUUUUUUACUUUUUUCUUA
Lolium rigidum is the source of this 206-nucleotide long non-coding RNA. RefSeq lists it as uncharacterized. The record is from RefSeq and is a predicted model, not a curated record. NCBI's taxonomy places the organism in Eukaryota, Viridiplantae, Streptophyta, Magnoliopsida, Poales, Poaceae. The transcript has 2 exons.